RNAcentral lists this long non-coding RNA (298 nucleotides) under Hordeum vulgare. Its description in RNAcentral is "long non-coding RNA (HVUL_LNC009529)". Lineage: Eukaryota; Viridiplantae; Streptophyta; Magnoliopsida; Poales; Poaceae. The record is from RNAcentral.
UUAUAGUUUUGUGCGAGUGUUUCAUCGGCUGCCCUCCCCAUUGGGGUUUGUUCAAACACAUCUUUUCCGCCAGAUCCCAAACCAUCAAACGACUUAGCCAGUCGGAUGAUAAGACGCAUCUCCUCCAGCUCUGCGGGGGUUUAGGUUUUCAGAAGAAGAGUCGGAGUAGUUAUCCUGCUCUUCAGUUAAGUGAGUCGGUCAGGAACUGGUAGUCGACGUGGUUCUACUGCCAGGAUAUCGCCUGUCCGAAUGCGUCGACUGGGCUGCCUCCUUUUAGUUUAGACCGGCCCGCCCCACC